GUCAAGUGUGGUGGCGCACCCCUGUAAUCCCAAAUGGCUUGGGAGGCUGAGGCAGGAGGAUCGCUAGUUUAAAGCCAGACUCAUCAAAAUCUAGGUGCUAAGCAACUCAGUGAGACCCUGUCUCUA
Molecule: small RNA, 126 nt
Filed under: Marmota monax (woodchuck)
Lineage: Eukaryota; Metazoa; Chordata; Mammalia; Rodentia; Sciuridae
Source: RNAcentral